RNAcentral lists this ribosomal RNA (1288 nucleotides) under Vibrio cholerae. RNAcentral's name for it is "partial 23S ribosomal RNA". It matches the Rfam family "Bacterial large subunit ribosomal RNA", at positions 1658 to 2925 of the family's 2925-position model. Lineage: Bacteria; Pseudomonadati; Pseudomonadota; Gammaproteobacteria; Vibrionales; Vibrionaceae. The record is from RNAcentral.
CACAGGUGGUCGGGUAGAGAAUACCAAGGCGCUUGAGAGAACUCGGGUGAAGGAACUAGGCAAAAUGGUACCGUAACUUCGGGAGAAGGUACGCUCUUGAUGGUGAAGUCCCUCGCGGAUGGAGCUGACGAGAGUCGCAGAUACCAGGUGGCUGCAACUGUUUAUUAAAAACACAGCACUGUGCAAAAUCGCAAGAUGACGUAUACGGUGUGACGCCUGCCCGGUGCCGGAAGGUUAAUUGAUGGGGUUAGCGCAAGCGAAGCUCUUGAUCGAAGCCCCGGUAAACGGCGGCCGUAACUAUAACGGUCCUAAGGUAGCGAAAUUCCUUGUCGGGUAAGUUCCGACCUGCACGAAUGGCGUAAUGAUGGCCACGCUGUCUCCACCCGAGACUCAGUGAAAUUGAAAUCGCUGUGAAGAUGCAGUGUACCCGCGGCUAGACGGAAAGACCCCGUGAACCUUUACUACAGCUUGGCACUGAACAUUGAACCUACAUGUGUAGGAUAGGUGGGAGGCUAUGAAGACGUGACGCCAGUUGCGUUGGAGUCGUCCUUGAAAUACCACCCUUGUAUGUUUGAUGUUCUAACUUAGACCCAUUAUCUGGGUUGAGGACAGUGCCUGGUGGGUAGUUUGACUGGGGCGGUCUCCUCCCAAAGAGUAACGGAGGAGCACGAAGGUGGGCUAAUCACGGUUGGACAUCGUGAGGUUAGUGCAAUGGCAUAAGCCCGCUUAACUGCGAGAAUGACGGUUCGAGCAGGUGCGAAAGCAGGUCAUAGUGAUCCGGUGGUUCUGUAUGGAAGGGCCAUCGCUCAACGGAUAAAAGGUACUCCGGGGAUAACAGGCUGAUACCGCCCAAGAGUUCAUAUCGACGGCGGUGUUUGGCACCUCGAUGUCGGCUCAUCACAUCCUGGGGCUGAAGUCGGUCCCAAGGGUAUGGCUGUUCGCCAUUUAAAGUGGUACGCGAGCUGGGUUUAGAACGUCGUGAGACAGUUCGGUCCCUAUCUGCCGUGGGCGUUGGAAGAUUGAAGGGGGCUGCUCCUAGUACGAGAGGACCGGAGUGGACGAACCUCUGGUGUUCGGGUUGUGUCGCCAGACGCAUUGCCCGGUAGCUAAGUUCGGAAUUGAUAAGCGCUGAAAGCAUCUAAGCGCGAAGCGAGCCCUGAGAUGAGUCUUCCCUGAUACUUUAAGUAUCCUAAAGGGUUGUUCGAGACUAGAACGUUGAUAGGCAGGGUGUGUAAGCGUUGUGAGGCGUUGAGCUAACCUGUACUAAUUGCCCGUGAGGCUUAACCAU